AGAACUACCUGGUACAAGAAAUGUCAUAAUCAUGAAGGUGAAUUACCCAUAGCAAGGCUUACACACUGCAUUCAGAAUGUGCUGACUCCCUGCGAGGCUCUAACUUCUGGGAAACUCAACUGCAUAAUUUGUGGUCAUGGGGAGGCUGAGCUUGUGCUCUUCUAAU
Arvicanthis niloticus (Nile rat) is the source of this 166-nucleotide non-coding RNA. The record is from RefSeq and is a predicted model, not a curated record. NCBI's taxonomy places the organism in Eukaryota, Metazoa, Chordata, Mammalia, Rodentia, Muridae.